This 2802-nucleotide ribosomal RNA is filed under the name Escherichia coli. Its description in RNAcentral is "bacterial LSU rRNA". It matches the Rfam family "Bacterial large subunit ribosomal RNA". The record is from RNAcentral. Lineage: Bacteria; Pseudomonadati; Pseudomonadota; Gammaproteobacteria; Enterobacterales; Enterobacteriaceae.
GGGUUGUGAGGUUAAGCGACUAAGCGUACACGGUGGAUGCCCUGGCAGUCAGAGGCGAUGAAGGACGUGCUAAUCUGCGAUAAGCGUCGGUAAGGUGAUAUGAACCGUUAUAACCGGCGAUUUCCGAAUGGGGAAACCCAGUGUGAUUCGUCACACUAUCAUUAACUGAAUCCAUAGGUUAAUGAGGCGAACCGGGGGAACUGAAACAUCUAAGUACCCCGAGGAAAAGAAAUCAACCGAGAUUCCCCCAGUAGCGGCGAGCGAACGGGGAGCAGCCCAGAGCCUGAAUCAGUGUGUGUGUUAGUGGAAGCGUCUGGAAAGGCGCGCGAUACAGGGUGACAGCCCCGUACACAAAAAUGCACAUGCUGUGAGCUCGAUGAGUAGGGCGGGACACGUGGUAUCCUGUCUGAAUAUGGGGGGACCAUCCUCCAAGGCUAAAUACUCCUGACUGACCGAUAGUGAACCAGUACCGUGAGGGAAAGGCGAAAAGAACCCCGGCGAGGGGAGUGAAAAAGAACCUGAAACCGUGUACGUACAAGCAGUGGGAGCACGCUUAGGCGUGUGACUGCGUACCUUUUGUAUAAUGGGUCAGCGACUUAUAUUCUGUAGCAAGGUUAACCGAAUAGGGGAGCCGAAGGGAAACCGAGUCUUAACUGGGCGUUAAGUUGCAGGGUAUAGACCCGAAACCCGGUGAUCUAGCCAUGGGCAGGUUGAAGGUUGGGUAACACUAACUGGAGGACCGAACCGACUAAUGUUGAAAAAUUAGCGGAUGACUUGUGGCUGGGGGUGAAAGGCCAAUCAAACCGGGAGAUAGCUGGUUCUCCCCGAAAGCUAUUUAGGUAGCGCCUCGUGAAUUCAUCUCCGGGGGUAGAGCACUGUUUCGGCAAGGGGGUCAUCCCGACUUACCAACCCGAUGCAAACUGCGAAUACCGGAGAAUGUUAUCACGGGAGACACACGGCGGGUGCUAACGUCCGUCGUGAAGAGGGAAACAACCCAGACCGCCAGCUAAGGUCCCAAAGUCAUGGUUAAGUGGGAAACGAUGUGGGAAGGCCCAGACAGCCAGGAUGUUGGCUUAGAAGCAGCCAUCAUUUAAAGAAAGCGUAAUAGCUCACUGGUCGAGUCGGCCUGCGCGGAAGAUGUAACGGGGCUAAACCAUGCACCGAAGCUGCGGCAGCGACGCUUAUGCGUUGUUGGGUAGGGGAGCGUUCUGUAAGCCUGUGAAGGUGUGCUGUGAGGCAUGCUGGAGGUAUCAGAAGUGCGAAUGCUGACAUAAGUAACGAUAAAGCGGGUGAAAAGCCCGCUCGCCGGAAGACCAAGGGUUCCUGUCCAACGUUAAUCGGGGCAGGGUGAGUCGACCCCUAAGGCGAGGCCGAAAGGCGUAGUCGAUGGGAAACAGGUUAAUAUUCCUGUACUUGGUGUUACUGCGAAGGGGGGACGGAGAAGGCUAUGUUGGCCGGGCGACGGUUGUCCCGGUUUAAGCGUGUAGGCUGGUUUUCCAGGCAAAUCCGGAAAAUCAAGGCUGAGGCGUGAUGACGAGGCACUACGGUGCUGAAGCAACAAAUGCCCUGCUUCCAGGAAAAGCCUCUAAGCAUCAGGUAACAUCAAAUCGUACCCCAAACCGACACAGGUGGUCAGGUAGAGAAUACCAAGGCGCUUGAGAGAACUCGGGUGAAGGAACUAGGCAAAAUGGUGCCGUAACUUCGGGAGAAGGCACGCUGAUAUGUAGGUGAAGUCCCUCGCGGAUGGAGCUGAAAUCAGUCGAAGAUACCAGCUGGCUGCAACUGUUUAUUAAAAACACAGCACUGUGCAAACACGAAAGUGGACGUAUACGGUGUGACGCCUGCCCGGUGCCGGAAGGUUAAUUGAUGGGGUCAGCGCAAGCGAAGCUCUUGAUCGAAGCCCCGGUAAACGGCGGCCGUAACUAUAACGGUCCUAAGGUAGCGAAAUUCCUUGUCGGGUAAGUUCCGACCUGCACGAAUGGCGUAAUGAUGGCCAGGCUGUCUCCACCCGAGACUCAGUGAAAUUGAACUCGCUGUGAAGAUGCAGUGUACCCGCGGCAAGACGGAAAGACCCCGUGAACCUUUACUAUAGCUUGACACUGAACAUUGAGCCUUGAUGUGUAGGAUAGGUGGGAGGCUUUGAAGUGUGGACGCCAGUCUGCAUGGAGCCGACCUUGAAAUACCACCCUUUAAUGUUUGAUGUUCUAACGUUGACCCGUAAUCCGGGUUGCGGACAGUGUCUGGUGGGUAGUUUGACUGGGGCGGUCUCCUCCUAAAGAGUAACGGAGGAGCACGAAGGUUGGCUAAUCCUGGUCGGACAUCAGGAGGUUAGUGCAAUGGCAUAAGCCAGCUUGACUGCGAGCGUGACGGCGCGAGCAGGUGCGAAAGCAGGUCAUAGUGAUCCGGUGGUUCUGAAUGGAAGGGCCAUCGCUCAACGGAUAAAAGGUACUCCGGGGAUAACAGGCUGAUACCGCCCAAGAGUUCAUAUCGACGGCGGUGUUUGGCACCUCGAUGUCGGCUCAUCACAUCCUGGGGCUGAAGUAGGUCCCAAGGGUAUGGCUGUUCGCCAUUUAAAGUGGUACGCGAGCUGGGUUUAGAACGUCGUGAGACAGUUCGGUCCCUAUCUGCCGUGGGCGCUGGAGAACUGAGGGGGGCUGCUCCUAGUACGAGAGGACCGGAGUGGACGCAUCACUGGUGUUCGGGUUGUCAUGCCAAUGGCACUGCCCGGUAGCUAAAUGCGGAAGAGAUAAGUGCUGAAAGCAUCUAAGCACGAAACUUGCCCCGAGAUGAGUUCUCCCUGAC